GCCGGGGUGGCGGAACGGGCAUACGCAGUGGCCUUAGGAGCCACCGUCCCGAGAGGACAUACAGGUUCGAAUCCUGUCCCCGGCA
RNAcentral lists this transfer RNA (85 nucleotides) under Deltaproteobacteria bacterium. RNAcentral's name for it is "tRNA-Leu". It matches the Rfam family "tRNA". From Rfam's summary of the family: Transfer RNA (tRNA) molecules are approximately 80 nucleotides in length. The record is from RNAcentral. Lineage: Bacteria; Pseudomonadati; Myxococcota; Myxococcia.